CCUUAAUUAGCUUAUUUAAAGCCCUAAACUCUUAAUUUAAAAGAAAAUAGUUAAAGCCUAUUAUUAAGGA
Molecule: transfer RNA, 70 nt
Filed under: Loxechinus albus
Lineage: Eukaryota; Metazoa; Echinodermata; Echinoidea; Camarodonta; Echinidae
Description: tRNA-Lys
Rfam family: tRNA
About the family: Transfer RNA (tRNA) molecules are approximately 80 nucleotides in length.
Source: RNAcentral